This 1346-nucleotide ribosomal RNA is filed under the name uncultured bacterium. RNAcentral's name for it is "partial 16S ribosomal RNA". It matches the Rfam family "Bacterial small subunit ribosomal RNA", at positions 28 to 1381 of the family's 1533-position model. The record is from RNAcentral.
GACGAACGCUGGCGGCGUGCUUAACACAUGCAAGUCGAACGGAAAGGCCCUGCUUUUGUGGGGUGCUCGAGUGGCGAACGCGUGAGUAACACGUGAGUAACCUGCCCUUGACUUUGGGAUAACUUCAGGAAACUGGGGCUAAUACCGGAUAGGAGCUCCUGCUGCAUGGUGGGGGUUGGAAAGUUUCGGCGGUUGGGGAUGGACUCGCGGCUUAUCAGCUUGUUGGUGGGGUAGUGGCUUACCAAGGCUUUGACGGGUAGCCGGCCUGAGAGGGUGACCGGCCACAUUGGGACUGAGAUACGGCCCAGACUCCUACGGGAGGCAGCAGUGGGGAAUAUUGCACAAUGGGCGGAAGCCUGAUGCAGCAACGCCGCGUGCGGGAUGACGGCCUUCGGGUUGUAAACCGCUUUCGCCUGUGACGAAGCGUGAGUGACGGUAAUGGGUAAAGAAGCACCGGCUAACUACGUGCCAGCAGCCGCGGUGAUACGUAGGGUGCGAGCGUUGUCCGGAUUUAUUGGGCGUAAAGGGCUCGUAGGUGGUUGAUCGCGUCGGAAGUGUAAUCUUGGGGCUUAACCCUGAGCGUGCUUUCGAUACGGGUUGACUUGAGGAAGGUAGGGGAGAAUGGAAUUCCUGGUGGAGCGGUGGAAUGCGCAGAUAUCAGGAGGAACACCAGUGGCGAAGGCGGUUCUCUGGGCCUUUCCUGACGCUGAGGAGCGAAAGCGUGGGGAGCGAACAGGCUUAGAUACCCUGGUAGUCCACGCUGUAAACGGUGGGUACUAGGUGUGGGGUCCAUUCCACGGGUUCCGUGCCGUAGCUAACGCUUUAAGUACCCCGCCUGGGGAGUACGGCCGCAAGGCUAAAACUCAAAGGAAUUGACGGGGCCCCGCACAAGCGGCGGAGCAUGCGGAUUAAUUCGAUGCAACGCGUAGAACCUUACCUGGGUUUGACAUGGAUCGGGAGUGCUCAGAGAUGGGUGUGCCUCUUUUGGGGUCGGUUCACAGGUGGUGCAUGGCUGUCGUCAGCUCGGGUCGUGAGAUGUUGGGUUAAGUCCCGCAACGAGCGCAACCCUUGUUCACUGUUGCCAGCACGUUAUGGUGGGGACUCAGUGGAGACCGCCGGGGUCAACUCGGAGGAAGGUGGGGAUGACGUCAAGUCAUCAUGCCCCUUAUGUCCAGGGCUUCACGCAUGCUACAAUGGCUGGUACAGAGAGUGGCGAGCCUGUGAGGGUGAGCGAAUCUCGGAAAGCCGGUCUCAGUUCGGAUUGGGGUCUGCAACUCGACCUCAUGAAGUCGGAGUCGCUAGUAAUCGCAGAUCAGCAACGCUGCGGUGAAUACGUUCCCGGGGCU